CGUACCGUGAGUAAUAAUGCACA
Molecule: microRNA, 23 nt
Filed under: Chiloscyllium plagiosum (whitespotted bambooshark)
Lineage: Eukaryota; Metazoa; Chordata; Chondrichthyes; Orectolobiformes; Hemiscylliidae
Description: microRNA PC-3p-1497230_1
Source: RNAcentral